This 4423-nucleotide long non-coding RNA is filed under the name Gallus gallus (chicken). The record is from RNAcentral. Lineage: Eukaryota; Metazoa; Chordata; Aves; Galliformes; Phasianidae.
UAUUAAACAGGGCUGGCCCCAAAACCAACCUCUGGGGAACACCACUGAUAUGACCAGUUGCCAGCUGAAUCCAACUCUAUUUACUCUGAACCCAGCCCUCCAGCCAAUUUUACCCAGCAAAGAGUGAAUGACUGAGCCCAGAGACCCUCACCCUGGCACCAAGGCCAUUCCAGACUGCGUGGGGCUGGGAGAAGGGGUGUGAUCGGCCUGCCUGCAGCAUGAGGAAUGUUUCUAGUGGAGGAAGGAUUAAUGCCUUGGUAUAGCCUCUAUUUUCAGAAGGUUAAACACAAAUAGCAAAAAGAAGAAUCAUAUUACUAAGAUAAUAUUGGACAGGGUCAAGGGAAAAGGAAAAGUGUGGGCCUCUCACCCACAGUCACAAGGAACAUUUGCAAACUGUUCAGAAUCAAGAUCCAAGGAAGGACAGUUUAAUCAGGUACUUAGCAAUGAAAAGAGCAGACCCAUCCAAGGAUUUCUGGAAUAGCUCAUGGCCCUCAUUCUGUCAUUAUGCCUGCCCUGAUCCUAACAAACUACAAGAACACGUAUAGAAGAGAAGCACUGCACGCAUGCCAGAUGAUGGAGGCACUUGUCAGAAGGAUGAGGAGGACAAAGACGGGGAUCGUGGCAGAAAAGGGGAACUUCCAUUCCCCUGGUGAAACAGAAAAACACAAAAGCAAAUUUCCUGAAGGUGAUAUAUUUUAUGCUAAUAAUGGACACUUAUGGUCAGCUUUUCUUUCUGCAAUCUCUGAAAUUGUUAUGGCUCAAGAUCCUAUUCUUCCAGAGAAAAGGAUGACAGACAUGCCUAAGACCAGCCUCUGAGUCAGAAACGUUAGAAAUGAUUGAUGAUACCAGCCAGUGCCUUAAUUAGAGCAGGUAAAAAAUGAGGCUUUAUUGACUUUUCUUUUUUCUUCCAGGAGAAAUUUGAAAAUUCCCAAGGCUUUAGUGGUAGCAUAACUCAAGUACAAUAAUUCAGGAUUUUCAGGAAACAUCUUAGGGCUGGGUAUUUUCAAUGAAAACAUUGCUACAGAAGGCAGAAACCUUUCACUUGAAAAUCCAAAUCCAAACAAUUUAAUAGAAAGCCUUUUUUUUUUUCCUUUUGAAAAGCUAAUUUUGAUGGAAUUCUUUGAUAUUCUGUAACCUCAUCUGAUAUCUUAACACAUCCUUCCUCAGGAAGGUCAUACCUUCGUAGUUUAACUGCAUGCACACUGGCUGGGAGAAUUUGCUGUGCUUGAAGUCAAUGCUUUGGAUGGAGGAUCUGGCAUUGAAGCAGUAAUUGCCUCUGAGUGCAGUGGUGUCGAUAGUCACUGCCUUCUUCCUAAAGAUACUUUUGUAUUGCUUCUGUUUGGAAACAAAAGGAACAGAGGGUUAGAAAGAUGACUCUUCCAUUUUGGGGAUGAUGUUUCUCUACCCUUUUUGCCAUGACUCUCAUCAUCCUGUUUCCAUGGCGCCAGUGGUUGGAAGGUGUGAAGAGAGGCACUUGCCUUGCUCGUUAUUUGUAGUAAGCAUCUCUUCAUGUCUGUACUAUGCUCUUUGCUGCCACAGCUAUGCUGUUAGCAGCACCCAAACUAGCUGUUCUAAACCUUCGAUUUUUCUCUGACUGUUCAGUUGCCUCUGAACAUAGCAUCUAAACAGAUAAAAAUAGAAAUAGAGUAAGAAACGGAACUACCAAUAAAGCAAAGAUGCUGAAUGUAACACACUCAUUUCUUUUCCAGCUUUAGUUAACUCUGGUUUGACCAUUUCAGUUUCUCUAGGCCGGGCUCCAGUCACUCCCUGCAUAGAUAUUUGCAGCUAUUUCAUUUCAGCUGAGCACCAUUCCUCUGUUUCAUCUAAGCAGUACUGCUUCUACUGACCUUGUCUUCAGAUCCGGCUUCCCAAAGGUUGAAGUCAUACAUCCAAGGUAAACUCUCCACACAGAUGGCCAUAGGAAAAGUGGCAUUCACAUGGAUUACGUUCUCCUUUACAUUCACGUUUAGCAGUGGGGGAGCCAGUUCCACUAUAAUUGAGUGACCAGACAUAAGAACAGUGCUUGCUGACAUCGUAGUUUCACAGAAGUAAUGUUUUAUUUGUCUGAUCUAAACUUCUAGCUGAUAUCUUGUGGGGGACAUGAAGGAAGGAGGAGGGCAAAGCAACAUCUCUUUUUUUAAUGUAACAUACCCCCAGUGAUACUGUCUUUCUGUUGUGAUGAGCUUGAAACCAGUUCAUUCACCUAGAGCACUGAUGAAACAAAUUCUGAUACCGGCUACAAAACUUAAUUUCAAAUCAUCAUGGCUCAUUGUUGCUUGUGCCCACUCAAUUCUGGCAUUCAUAAAGCUUCAUGUUUCUCUUUCUGCCAUGUGUGGUUUAACUAAUUUGCUCAUGCAAACACUGUUGCUGGGAUGUCCUUCCAGCCAGGCUGUACCUAAGAGACACUCACCAUCUAAGUGGUAUUCCUUGAACUGUGAUUUUACCCAUGGUGAAUGGAAUCGUCCAGAAGUCGCUUUCACUUGAGCCCGGAAUUUAAUGAAGAAGUUUGGAAUCACACACGUCAGGUUGCAAGAGACACUGUGAAUAUUUCUGCAAUGGGGAACCUUUAUCCAUUUGUCCAUACGUGUUUUGCUAAAACAAGAAACAAAUAUGCCAUAUCAAACAUCUGUUGUUAUAAUUUAUACAGCAAGUGAAGGAAGUGCUUUUCUGGAUUGAUGCUGAAUCUUGCUGAAAGUUUAGAGCACUUUCCAGACAGAAAAGGAUUGACUUUGGUGAAAGAAUGCAGUCAAACCACGAUCAUAAUGACUGAUUAAGCACACCCACAGAUGUUUGCCCUGUGCAGUACGUCCUAUUAGACUCCCUUUGUAAGCACUCACCUUUCAUACCUCACAGUGUACAACACAUCUGGUGGAGAUCCUUCUCCUGGAGUCCAUGUCAAAAUCAUAUCAAAAUCCUUUGACAGUAAUGUAACAUUCUGAGGAGGAGGAAGUUGACCAUGAACUGAUCAGAAAGGAAAAUUAAGUGAAUUAUUAAACAUUGCUUUGGAAAUAGGAAAUAUCACCUAUUGUUGACAAAGGUGGUUUCAAAAUUUGGGGCACAGCAGCUCAAUUCACUUACGACUACAAACUGUAAGCUAUCUGGGGAAACAGGCAUGUUUGUGAUGUUGUUGAGUUUUCCUCACCUCACCACAGAACAUCUCAACAGCUGUAAGAAUUAGGACAGAAAUGUGUGUGAGCCAUCCAAUUCUGUAAUUGGAGCAGCAUCCCCCAUAGCCUCACUGGAUUCUCCUGUGAUCUGUUUCACAACCCCACAAACUCCAGCCUGACCCCCUUGCUCUCUCACCUCCUGGACCUCAGAUCAGGCACACACUACUGGGUCACUCCAUCCACCCUCUUCCAACUCAUAAAGGCAGACAUGUCACAAGUACAGCAGGAUGCAGCAUGCAGGCUCGCUGCUUGUACUUUCUGGCAGCAGUUGUUUCCGGUAAAUGAACAUGUACCAGUAAAUAAACAUGUGUCUUCAACAAGACACAUUCUUGUCAGAUAGCUGGUACUGCAAUCCAGAGAGGUUGUGGGUGCCCCAUUCCUCAAGGUGCCCAAGACCAUGGAUAGGCCCCUGGGCAGCCUGAGCUGGUGGGGGGCAACUAGCCCACAGCAGGGGGUUGGAGCAGGAUGGUCUUUAGGGUCCCCUCCAACCUCAGCCAUACCACGAUUCUUUGAUUUUAAAUCGCCAUUCCUUUACAGUGAAAUGUUUUACUUGAUGAAAAUCAUUCCCAUCCUCACUGCUUUCAACAUGUUGUCCGUGUCUUCCCUCCCACAAGCAAAGCCACAUAGCCCAGCAAAGCGAAAGUGACAAAGCCAUGACGUACCUCUGGGCUGCCACAGGAAGCACAGAGUUGCCAGCACUCUGAUUCUCCAUGCAGACAUGCUGAAGCAGAACUUUUCCACAUGUAAUUUAUUUCUUUCCUUGCUACCUUUUCAUUGUAUUGUUUUCCUGUACCAAGUUGUAUGGAUGGUGGAGGAAUAUGUGGUUAAUUACUGACACGCAUGUGUACAGCUUCACUUCCUUGUGCAGCCCAAACGUGGCACGACUCAUCAAACUGAAGAGGGAGCAGCGGUGAGACUGCUUGGGAUGAAAGCAGAAACGCUGCAAAGAUUGUGGCACAACGCCCUCCACUGUAACAGAGCUGAUCUCUGGUACGGGCUGCAUGAGAACAGAACAUGGCAUGAGCCCUCUCCUCUGAGGCACCUCAUAAAAAGUGACCUUUGGAAUUCACCUGCGUGGUUGUCAAAUAUUUAUAGAAAUCAAAUAACAUUUUACUGCAUGAGAUACCUGAUAAUAACCUAGCAGGUAUAGAAACUUGUUAGCAGCAGUAUGUAAAGUUAUGUCAGCCUCGUGCUUAUGAAGAGCCAGUGUAUGUUACCAGGCCAAGAGUACGUUUUACAAGGUACAGAAUGACCCC